AGUGAACGCUGGCGGUAGGCCUAACACAUGCAAGUCGAACGGCAGCACAGUAAGAGCUUGCUCUUACGGGUGGCGAGUGGCGGACGGGUGAGGAAUACAUCGGAAUCUACUUUUUCGUGGGGGAUAACGUAGGGAAACUUACGCUAAUACCGCAUACGACCUACGGGUGAAAGCAGGGGAGCUUCGGACCUUGCGCGAUUGAAUGAGCCGAUGUCGGAUUAGCGAGUUGGCGGGGUAAAGGCCCACCAAGGCGACGAUCCGUAGCUGGUCUGAGAGGAUGAUCAGCCACACUGGAACUGAGACACGGUCCAGACUCCUACGGGAGGCAGCAGUGGGGAAUAUUGGAAAAUGGGCGCAAGCCUGAUCCAGCCAUACCGCGUGGGUGAAGAAGGCCUUCGGGUUGUAAAGCCCUUUUGUUGGGAAAGAAAAGCAGCAGGUUAAUCCCCCGCUGUUCUGACGGUACCCAAAGAAUAAGCACCGGCUAACUUCGUG
Molecule: ribosomal RNA, 492 nt
Filed under: uncultured bacterium
Lineage: Bacteria
Description: partial 16S ribosomal RNA
Rfam family: Bacterial small subunit ribosomal RNA
Source: RNAcentral